UACGUAGGGUGCAAGCGUUGUCCGGAAUUAUUGGGCGUAAAGAGCUCGUAGGCGGUUUGUCGCGUCUGCUGUGAAAACUCGGGGCUUAACCCCGGGCCUGCAGUGGGUACGGGCAGACUAGAGUGCGGUAGGGGAGACUGGAAUUCCUGGUGUAGCGGUGAAAUGCGCAGAUAUCAGGAGGAACACCGGUGGCGAAGGCGGGUCUCUGGGCCGUAACUGACGCUGAGGAGCGAAAGCGUGGGGAGCGAGCAGG
This 253-nucleotide ribosomal RNA is filed under the name uncultured bacterium. RNAcentral's name for it is "partial 16S ribosomal RNA". It matches the Rfam family "Bacterial small subunit ribosomal RNA", at positions 524 to 776 of the family's 1533-position model. The record is from RNAcentral.